GGUUGAUGUGAUGAUAACCUUUCAUAGAGAUACACAUCUGUUGACUAAAAUUCAGACUACAAUUAUCUGAUCAACU
This is a small nucleolar RNA of Phragmites australis (common reed), 76 nucleotides long. RefSeq annotates it as small nucleolar RNA Z155. The record is from RefSeq and is a predicted model, not a curated record. The transcript has a single exon. Lineage: Eukaryota; Viridiplantae; Streptophyta; Magnoliopsida; Poales; Poaceae.